Molecule: long non-coding RNA, 270 nt
Filed under: Mytilus galloprovincialis (Mediterranean mussel)
Lineage: Eukaryota; Metazoa; Mollusca; Bivalvia; Mytilida; Mytilidae
Source: RNAcentral
GUUCGUUUCUGUGUGUGUUACAAUUUAACGUUGCGUCGUUUGUUUUCUCUUAUUUUUGAGUGUAAAUUGACAUUGCGAUAAGACGUGUUACGGUACUUGUCUAUCCCAAAUUCAUGUAUUUGGUUUUGAUGUUAUAUUUGUUAUUCUCGUGGGAUUUUGUCUGAUGCUUGGUCCGUUUCUGUGUGUGUUAGUUACAUUGAAGUGUUGUGUCGUUGUUCUCCUCUUAUAUUUUUGUGUUUCCGUCAGUUUUAGUUUGUUACCCCGAUUUUG